AAGGUAGGUAAAAAGUAUCAAAAAAAUUUCUGACCCAACAUAAUUUUGGCUAUUGGCUGUGGUUCUUAGAACCAGAGCGCAUUCCACAUUGCAACCCAGCCUGGAGAUGGGGGUGAUGCCCUUACUUAUAGAGGUCUUUCAGUCCCUGAGUUUCCACUCUGACGCUCACCCUGAAUGAGCCCAGCAGUCAAUCCACUGCCAGUCUCAUUGAGCCCCUGAGCAGCCACUGUGGGAGACUCACACUGGAAGUCCUCUCUGGGGUCACCCUGUUGUGGCCCCGCCCUCUGAGCCUAUCCCAUCAGAGGAAGAAAGCUCCGAGCAUGAGGAAGAGGAGUCAGCCAGGCCUCCCUCUCCAGGCCCCUCCCCUCUGGCACUGUCUCAGGAGCCGGCCGAGGGAGAGGAGAUUAGCCGGGAGACAGGUGUCUCGGAUGAGGGUGAAGGUGAGACGUCAUUCCUGGAUGCACGCCUCCGAAGGCGUGAUAAAUGAUUGCAGCAGCUCAGGAGGCGUGCUAGGGAUUAGGACUGAGUCACUGGACCACACCCCAGAGACAGCGAUCCCUGUGACGAACAAAAAUAAACCUUGGAUAGUCACUAAAGGAUCGUCCGAAACUGUCAGAGGAAUAUUAUUCUGUUGGACUUUUGUACGCUGAGUAUAUUAACUUUCUGUUCUGUGGAAAUAAAAGCACUUGGCAGACGGGGUGUAUAUCGCUGCCAAGUUGGAGAUAAAGACCUGGGUGUGUGCCAAGUGCUUCUUUAACCCUCGGCUGGCUGUGUUUGUGUGUGUGUGUGGACGGGGACAGAUCACACCCUUUCAGUCCCUGAGCAAGCAGUGAGGGCGAAUCACACUGGAAGAGACAACAGCGCUCAGCUAGAAGCCUCCUCCAGUGCCUGAGGACCCCCUCAGUGAGACUCGGACCAGAAGGGAAUCCUUUGGGAUCACCUCCCUCCCACCAUUACACCCUUAGAAAUAAUGCCAGUACCAGCCAGACUUCUUAGAAUCGAAAGUGAAUCUGGUGACGCAAUGUUCUAGUGGUUCUUUCAGUGUUGGUGCAAAUGGUCUUGGAGGUUCUUGGUCAGGUUUUAGUUGUUAGCUUCAUUGGCAGUUCCUUGAUUGGGGCAUUCUGUAUCUCUUGAUUGUUGGUCUGUUGUGAAUGAUAGUGAUACAACCUCAAUGGCCCUUUUUAAUGCUAGGUGUGGCUGUUGACGUAUAAAAGAACUCAUUAGUUUUCUAGCUUUGCAGACUGAGGGUAGGAACAAGUAUUCUGAAUGCUACCUGGUGGUGUGAUUGAUUUUAUAGAUUUCUGCCUGGCAUAAUUUAGCCCCGGCAAUGGUUCUUAGAACCAGAAAAAAACCCCCAAUGGCCAUUUUUAAUGCUAGGCGUGGCCAGUAAUUGAUAAUAGAUUUUAUACCUUUUUUGCCUGGCAUAAUUUAGCCCUAGCAAUGGUUCUUAGAAUCAGAAAGAAAACCCCAAUGGCCAUUUUUAAUGCUAGGCAUGGCCAGUAAUUGAUAAUAGAUUUUGCACCUUUUUUGCCUGGCAUACUUUAGUCCUGGCGAUGGUUCUUAGAACCAGAAAGAAAACCCCAAUGGCCAUUUUUAAUGCUAGGCAUCGCCCUUAAUUGAUAAUAGAUUUUGCACCUUUUUUGCCUGGCACACUUUAGUCCUGGCGAUGGUUCUUAGAACCAGAAAGAAAACCCCAAUGGCCAUUUUUAAUGCUAGGCAUGGCCAGUAAUUGAUAAUACAUUUUAUACCUUUUUGCCUGGCAUAAUUUAGCCCUCGCAAUGGUUCUUAGAACCAGAAAGAAAACCCCAAUGGCCAUUUUUAAUUGUAGGCGUGGCCAGUAAUUGAUAAUACAUUUUAUACCUUUUUUGCCUGGCAUACUUUAGUCCUGACGAUGGUUCUUAGAACCAGAAGGAAAACCCCAAUGGCCAUUUUUAAUGCUAGGCAUCGCCCUUAAUUGAUAAUACAUUUUAUACCUUUUUUGCCUGGCAUAAUUUAGCCCUGGCGAUGGUUCUUAGAACCAGAAAGAAAACCCCAAUGGCCAUUUUUAAUGCUAAGUAUGGCCGUUGAUUUAUAGAAGAUUUUAAAGUUUCUCAGAUUGAGCGGAGGAACAACUGCAGUCCUGCUGCCAAAUGUUCCUUGGAAGAGACAACGCUUGCUGGACACGACUCGAAAAGGAAGAAAAGCCAAAGAAGAAGAAACAAGAGAGCAAGAAAAUGUCUCCAGCCCAAGUGAUGUUGCCUUCUACGCUGUGUGGCAGGUCCUACACCACCUUAAAAGACAGAAGAUUCAAUUGUCAGCCUCCAAUGUUGAUGGUAAAAAUAGAAGAAAGCAUGGAAAGCAAGAAUGCAUAUGGUCUUCGUCAGGAAUGAUACUUCACCAAGUAACUCAAAACUGACCUGUGAUAAUAGAUUUCAAACCUUUCUGGCAUGGAGUAAAUUUAGCCCCGGUGAUGUUUCUUAGAACCAGAAAGAAAACCCCAAUGGCCAUUUUUAAUUGUAGGCGUGGCCAGUAAUUGAUAAUAGAUUUUAUACCUUUUUUGCCUGGCAUACUUUAGUCCUGACGAUGGUUCUUAGAACCAGAAAGAAAACCUCAGUGGCCAUUUUUAAUUGUAGGCGUGGCCAGUAAUUGAUAAUAGAUUUUAUACCUUUUUUGCCUGGCAUACUUUAGCCCUGGCGAUGGUUCUUAGAACCAGAAAGAAAACCUCAGUGGCCAUUUUUAAUGGUAAGUAUGGCCAUUGAUUUAUAGAAGAUUUUAAAGUUUCUCAGAUUGAGCGGAGGAACAACUGCAGUCCUGCUGCCAAAUGUUCCUUGGAAGAGACAACGCUUGCUGGACACGACUCGAGAAGGAAGAAAAGCCAAAGAAGAAGAAACAAGAGAGCAAGAAAAUUCUCCAGCCCAAGUGAUGUUGCCUUCUACGCUGUGAGGCAGGUCCUACACCACCUUAAAAGACAGAAGAUUCAAUUGUCAGCCUCCAAUGUUGAUGGUAAAAAUAGAAGAAAGCAUGGAAAGCAAGAAUGCAUAUGGUCUUCGUCAGGAAUGAUACUUCACCAAGUAACUCAAAACUGACCUGUGAUAAUAGAUUUCAAACCUUUCUGGCAUGGAGUAAAUUUAGCCCCGGUGAUGGUUCUUAGAACCAGAAAGGAAACCCCAAUGGCCAUUUUUAAUUGUAGGCAUGGCCAGUAAUUGAUAAUAGAUUUUAUACCUUUUUUGCCUGGCGUAAUUUAG
Pantherophis guttatus is the source of this 3224-nucleotide non-coding RNA. NCBI's taxonomy places the organism in Eukaryota, Metazoa, Chordata, Lepidosauria, Squamata, Colubridae. The record is from RefSeq and is a predicted model, not a curated record.